This is a long non-coding RNA of Lagopus muta (rock ptarmigan), 1098 nucleotides long. RefSeq lists it as uncharacterized. The record is from RefSeq and is a predicted model, not a curated record. Lineage: Eukaryota; Metazoa; Chordata; Aves; Galliformes; Phasianidae. The transcript has 3 exons.
AUCCCUGCCUACCUGUGGUCUUUCAAAGAACUGCAGCGGUUGGAAGGGACUUCUGAGGAUCAUAGAAUCCAACCUCCUGUUCAAACAGGUCCCCUAAAUAAGUUACGCAAGAAAGCAUUCAGGUGCAUUGUGGAAAUUGCUGUGUUCCAGUUUGUACCCUUUGCCCCAGGCCUCUCAGCCUUUCCCCAUGAAGGAGAUACUCAGGCUCUGAUCCUCUUUAUAGCUCUAAUGCUGACCAACAAGACUCUGCAAAUGUUGAUUGUUUUCUUUUGUCACUGUGAGAGUGCAAUUCAACACAACUGUAACUGGAAGUUGUGAAGGCAGCAUCAUGGUGGUCAUGUAGUCAAAAGCUAUAAAGGAGGCCAGGUUGCUGGGGAGAAAUGCACUUUAUCAGACUGAAUGUGCCAGGAAAACAAACACGUAUUUCAGGCUUCAACGCAGGCAUUUCUAGCAACAGUUUUAUUUGUAUGCCAUACUGAUGGAGUUUGGGUACCAAGUGAGCUCAUGCAGAAGCUGGGGAAGCAAUGUCCUGCCCUUUUCUCUCUCUUUGUGGAAUACCUCUUAUUGUUGAAGCAGCCAAAGUGAAUUGCUGGAUGUUCCAGGACUUUGCUUUUCAGGGAUUGUCAGGUUGAGGUUAUUGAGGUGUAGGCUAUAGCAUACCUGCAUCGCUGCUGAACAAAGGGUCAAACUCGAGCUGACUUGGCUUUUCUGGGAGUUUGCUUCUCUGUGCAAAAACCAUGACAGCGUUAUGUCUCAUCACAGAGGUGCUCAGGCUCCAGAAAUGUGAUUGUCUCCUUGUCUGGGUAUGCAACUGCACUCACAAAUGUGUGCUCAGUGCAGGAACUGUGGGGAUGAGAGUUCCCUCUGCGGUUUGCAGGAACGUGGGUACGGCAUUCUGACAAUGUGCUGUGAACCAGGAAUGCCCAGCUCACUGCACCCACAUGGGAAAUGGUGUGGAAGUCCAGGAAUUCUUCUGCCUUUUCUUCUCCUUCGAAAACUUCUCCCUUUGGGACCUCAUCAUAUGUCAAAGAUAUUUAACUGUAGGUGUUUUGAGUUGGAAAUACGAACCUGCCUGCUGUAAACACUAAACAACAGUUG